RNAcentral lists this long non-coding RNA (380 nucleotides) under Physcomitrium patens. Its description in RNAcentral is "long non-coding RNA (PPAT_LNC014698)". The record is from RNAcentral. Lineage: Eukaryota; Viridiplantae; Streptophyta; Bryopsida; Funariales; Funariaceae.
UGCAUCAACUUUACUUGGAUCUGGCUUUCUCCCAUAAAAUCCACACAAAUGCUCAACAAUAAGAACUUCUUGCAUUCCAAAUAUAGAUUUUGCUCCUGAAAGUGUAAGAUGAACCUCUUCAAGUCGAGUUAAAAUAUUUUCACAAUCUUGUAUAUGAUCAACAACAUAUUUGCAACACCCCCUCUCAUCUAAAGUUUCAUCUUUUUCUCCUUCUUUACAUCCUUUGAUAGGAACAUCAUCUAAAAAGGACAUAGUUUUUUCAGAAAUGAAGUCUCUUAGUACCUUGUUCAUUCCAAUCAUCAUAUGUGUAACUGAGUUAAUAGCACCUUGUGGGAGAGUACACAUUUAAAGUAAUCCAAGUAGCGUUCUCAUUGUUGUUA